CACACAUUUCACAUACACAUUUCAGGAUGUUGACAUGGGCCACUUCUUGCUGAAGUGUCAAGUGAGGGGCCAAAGCAAUAGAUUCAGGUGCCAGCAUGUUUAUGAAGCAAAUUCUCCCACGGGCAUAACUUACCAAAGGAAUGUGAGCAAACUAGUUCCAAGACUCGUUGACCCCUUCAGCCAGACGAGGUUACCAAAUGGUGUAAAAGUGUGAGCAGAGAGAGGAUUUGGGAAAGGUUUCUUUGGAGGGAGCUGUUGCUGUCCAAGCAAAGGAGGCAUCACAGAGGAUGCUCUCUGCUUCCACUCUAGUCUAACGGUGGUGAGAUCUUCCAUGGGACCGUUCACAGAGGUUGAAAUGUGUUCCAUGCAUAGGCUGGUGCCUAAUGCCCACCUGAGAGGGUGAAAGCAACCUGUGGCCACAAAAGAGAAGCGGCUGCCUUGGGAUGGAUGAGCACUGCUAGCGUUUGUCAAAGGAAGCAAGAGGAAGACUUAGAAUUGAGAAUAAAGAUAAUGGAGUAAAGGAGGAAGCGGAGGAUCAAGGCUGCCCCAGGGAGAGAAGCCCAAGGCCUUCUGGCCUACCUGCCAUCUAUACCAGCCUCCAGGAAGUAUAGGACGUCCUGACCUGAUUCAUAUCUAAAGUUGUACAACCACACGAUAACCAGGCCCCACCUGCCCUGACACCAUUUUAAGGACUUUUUUACAUGAUCUUUCCUUUGUUUUGUAAGAAAAUAACUCACAUAUCUGUGCCUUAUAAAUUUAACCCUACUGCUAACCCAUUGCAGCUCUUCACUGCCCACGGGUCCUGUCCCCAUGCUGCAGCCCUCCACUGCCCACGGGUCCUGUCCCCAUGCUAUUCUCUGAAUAAAGGAGCACUACUACCAGACCUUGAGAGUCCACAAAAUCUUUCUUUCUACUCCUCACCUCCCUGAGCCCACAUCAAUGAUAACUGAUUAAUUUGAACUUACUGUAGUAAUCGUAGUAAGCAGAGGAAUAAGAGGGUAUGCUUGCUGUUUACAAUGCUUGUAAUAUUUCGGAAAGUUUAGCAUAUUAGCAAAUC
Molecule: long non-coding RNA, 1057 nt
Filed under: Equus caballus (horse)
Lineage: Eukaryota; Metazoa; Chordata; Mammalia; Perissodactyla; Equidae
Description: lncRNA (ENSECAG00000058193.1)
Source: RNAcentral